This 462-nucleotide ribosomal RNA is filed under the name Carriola ecnomoda. Its description in RNAcentral is "partial large subunit ribosomal RNA". Lineage: Eukaryota; Metazoa; Arthropoda; Insecta; Lepidoptera; Erebidae. The record is from RNAcentral.
UGCCCACUGAUUUAAUAAUUAAAGGGCUGCAGUAUUUUGACUGUACAAAGGUAGCAUAAUCAUUAGUCAUUUAAUUGAUGACUUGUAUGAAAGAUUGGAUGAAAUAUAAGCUGUCUUUUAAUUAAAUUAUAGAAUUUAAUUUUUUAAUUAAAAAGUUAAAAUAAUUUAAAAAGACGAGAAGACCCUAUAGAGUUUUAUUUAAUUUAAAAUUAAGAUUUUAUAUAAAUUUAAUAAUUUAAAUUUAGGAUUAAAUUUUGUUGGGGUGAUAGAAAAAUUAAAAUAACUUUUUUUGUUUGUUUAACAUAGAUAAGUGAUUAAAUGAUCCAAUAAUAUUGAUUAUAAGAAAAAAUUACCUUAGGGAUAACAGCGUAAUUUUUUUUUUUAGUUCACAUAAGAAAAAGAGUUUGCGACCUCGAUGUUGGAUUAAGAUAAAAUUUAAAUGCAGAAGUUUAAAAUUUUUNA